UUGGAGGGCAAGUCUGGUGCCUUGGAGGGCAAGUCUGGUGCCAGCAGCCGCGGUAAUUCCAGCUCCAAUAGCGUAUAUUAAAGUUGUUGCAGUUAAAAAGCUCGUAGUUGAAUUUCGGGAUCAAUGUUUCGGUCAUGCCGUUGGUAUGUACUGAUAUUAUUGAUUUCUCACCUUCUAAAGAACCGUAAUGCCAUUAAUUUGGUGUCACGGGGAAUUAGGACUGUUACCUUGAAAAAAUUAGAGUGUUUAAAGCAGGCUCACGCUUGAAUACAUUAGCAUGGAAUAAUGAAAUAGGACAUCCGAUUCUAUUUUGUUGGUUUCUAGGAUCGAUGUAAUGAUUAAUAGGGAUAGUUGGGGGCAUUAGUAUUCAAUUGUCAGAGGUGAAAUUCUUGGAUUUAUUGAAGACUAACUACUGCGAAAGCAUUUGCCAAGGAUGUUUUCAUUAAUCAAGAACGAAAGUUAGGGGAUCGAAGACGAUCAGAUACCGUCGUAGUCUUAACCAUAAACUAUGCCGACUAGGGAUCGGAUGAUGUUAAUUUUUUAAUGACUCAUUCGGCGCCUUACGGGAAACCAAAGUGUUUGGGUUC
Molecule: ribosomal RNA, 587 nt
Filed under: uncultured Glomeromycotina
Lineage: Eukaryota; Fungi; Glomeromycota
Description: SSU rRNA
Rfam family: Eukaryotic small subunit ribosomal RNA
Source: RNAcentral